GGCUUGGUAGCUCAGCUGGUGGAGCGAUUGCCGCGUUGAGGCAUGCCGUGUGUGUCGCUGGUUUGAAUCCAGCCGAAGCCC
Molecule: transfer RNA, 81 nt
Filed under: Paragonimus westermani
Lineage: Eukaryota; Metazoa; Platyhelminthes; Trematoda; Plagiorchiida; Troglotrematidae
Description: tRNA-Asn
Rfam family: tRNA
About the family: Transfer RNA (tRNA) molecules are approximately 80 nucleotides in length. Their secondary structure includes four short double-helical elements and three loops (D, anti-codon, and T loops).
Source: RNAcentral